GAUAAAGUGGCUGAUUUAGGCGGUAAAUUGUAAAUUUAUUUAAGAAAGAAUUUUCCUUUAUUA
RNAcentral lists this transfer RNA (63 nucleotides) under Rodolia quadrimaculata. RNAcentral's name for it is "tRNA-Tyr". Lineage: Eukaryota; Metazoa; Arthropoda; Insecta; Coleoptera; Coccinellidae. The record is from RNAcentral.